GAUGAACGCUGGCGGCGUGCUUAACACAUGCAAGUCGAACGAUGAAGCCCAGCUUGCUGGGUGGAUUAGUGGCGAACGGGUGAGUAACACGUGAGUAACCUGCCCUUAACUCUGGGAUAAGCCUGGGAAACUGGGUCUAAUACCGGAUAGGAGCGUCCACCGCAUGGUGGGUGUUGGAAAGAUUUAUCGGUUUUGGAUGGACUCGCGGCCUAUCAGCUUGUUGGUGAGGUAAUGGCUCACCAAGGCGACGACGGGUAGCCGGCCUGAGAGGGUGACCGGCCACACUGGGACUGAGACACGGCCCAGACUCCUACGGGAGGCAGCAGUGGGGAAUAUUGCACAAUGGGCGCAAGCCUGAUGCAGCGACGCCGCGUGAGGGAUGACGGCCUUCGGGUUGUAAACCUCUUUCAGUAGGGAAGAAGCGAAAGUGACGGUACGUGCAGAAGAAGCACCGGCUAACUACGUG
This 466-nucleotide ribosomal RNA is filed under the name uncultured bacterium. RNAcentral describes it as "partial 16S ribosomal RNA". It matches the Rfam family "Bacterial small subunit ribosomal RNA", at positions 28 to 507 of the family's 1533-position model. The record is from RNAcentral.